GUGAGGAAUAUUGCGCAAUGGAGGCAACUCUGACGCAGCCAUGCCGCGUGCAGGAAGAAGGCGCUACGCGUUGUAAACUGCUUUUAACCGGGAAGAAACCCCAGGACGUGUCCUGGGUUGACGGUACCGGAGGAAUAAGCACCGGCUAACUUCGUGCCAGCAGCCGCGGAAUACGAAGGGUGCAAGCGUUAUCCGGAUUCAUUGGGUUUAAAGGGUGCGUAGGCGGAGCGUUAAGUCAGUGGUGAAAUCCUGCAGCUUAACUGUAGACUUGCCAUUGAUACUGGCGCUCUUGAGUGCGCUUGAAGUGGGCGGAAUGUGCCGUGUAGCGGUGAAAUGCUUAGAUAUGGCACAGAACACCAAUUGCGAAGGCAGCUCACUAAGGCGAUACUGACGCUGAGGCACGAAAGCGUGGGGAUCGAACAGGAUUAGAAACCCGGGUAGUCC
Molecule: ribosomal RNA, 444 nt
Filed under: uncultured bacterium
Lineage: Bacteria
Description: partial 16S ribosomal RNA
Rfam family: Bacterial small subunit ribosomal RNA
Source: RNAcentral